Oenanthe melanoleuca is the source of this 2809-nucleotide long non-coding RNA. RefSeq lists it as uncharacterized. NCBI's taxonomy places the organism in Eukaryota, Metazoa, Chordata, Aves, Passeriformes, Muscicapidae. The record is from RefSeq and is a predicted model, not a curated record. The transcript has 2 exons.
UGCACUGCAAGCAACAGUGGUGAGAACUGAGCCACAGCUAUUGAGGCAGUGGAGAAUAAACGUUAAUGCUUUUGAUUACCAGCUGUGCACUGCAAAUAACUGCUUUUGCAAGAAAGCUUGUGCUGUAGUUGCAUAAAUAAUUCCAAUAAAACUGUAUAAAAAGCCACUUCAUUAAUCCCAGCUAUCAACUGGAGACCUGCAGCAAAUGCAAAACUGCAAAAGUUUUUACAGAGGUAUCAAGGCAAUCUAAGAACUGUCUGACUUUACUUCUUUCAGUUUCCAGGCAAGACAAAAGUCUACACAUACAUAUAAUGUUUUGUAUAUGCUCCUAUUAAACCUGCCCUUUGCAUUCUAGAAUUCAAGUGGCACACAUGAUUUGGUUUCCCCCCUAGGCUUUACAAAGGCUUCUAAUACAACACAUGAUCGACUUACUAGGAAAUCAUUUGUUUGUUUUAAAUUUGGAAAAGGAAGAGAAAACACCUGGGAAACUGUGGGAGAAUAUCAACACAGUUGAAAAGAAAAUUACAUCCCAGCCUCCUGAAAAACUUUAAUAUAAAGAUCUUUGGGAAGUCUGUGAAUAAGGGAUGAACAAAGAAAUACUCCAUUUGAGGAAUGUCCUUCCUUUGAACACUGAAUCACAGAAUACAAGUCUCCGCAUCACCUUGCAAAAGAAAAAGGGAAAAAAAAUCCUGCCUGAAAUGUGUCACUUAUUUGCUGCUGUUUACUUUGUUUAUUUGUAGUGGUUUUGCAAAAUCCCACAAAUAUUUCAGACUGAAACCACAGUUCAUAUUUUAUAUUUAGAUGAACUAUGGCAUCUUUCAAGAAGCUGUAAGUGCAAGCCUGCAUGUAAAGCCCUCCCUCUGCCUGCCCUGGGACCAUGCAGCCAUUGCAGCAGGAAGAACAUGGGCCACCACUGCAGCCCUGGUGGUGACCCUCCUCCAUGCACUGGCCCAGCCACCCCUCAGCUCAGCUUCAGCAGGAUGCAAGAGUGAGUCCUUGCCCCUCCCACGGCACAGAAGGGAGGAAACUGCGAUCUCUGACUGUGCACCACUGAAGUCAGCGGGAUCUUUGUGGAUGCUGGGUGGGAAUAGGCCCCCACAAAUAUGCAACAAGCAAUAGCAAAGCUUAUACCCUGCUCUGGAUUGAUCCGAGUCACGAGGAGCUCAAGCUGUCAGUCAGCAAGAGUGCAAGGAGGGCUGAUUGUUCUGGUCAUCUCACUGGAACAGAGGAAAAAUUCAAGAUGCACAUCCUCCUUGCAGUACCCCCACACACUCUCACCCAGAUGAAAGCUUAAGGACGAGAAUCAUGUUUUCACAGAGGCCUAUUUUUUCCACAAAGUGUUGUCAACCUUCUCCAGCCCUUAUUUUAAUAAAGGAAAACCUACCAUCCUUUUGACCUUGGACUUGUUCAUUUUCUCUGUUUCUCUCAGUACAUGCUCUUUGCUAGCCAUUCAGCAUGCUGCGAGCCCUGAUAAAAGUGGUUAAUGUUUACUGAAACCUGCGUAUGAACUGUACUAAACCUGAUGCAGGGGGAGGCAAAGUUCUGCUAGCAGCAUCCAUGACCAAUUAAAAAGAACUGUUAGCUUGCUUUUCUUUUUAAGCUCAUCCCCACCCCUGCUAAACAGCUGCAUGAGUAGAUGGGCAGGCAGCUCAGGGAGAAGACUGAAAAAAUUCUUCAAAUCCAUCCACCUAGAUACUUCAAAAUUUUCUGAGUACCACAGGCCUUUCAAGAAUACACAAAAGGAAUGAAAGAACUACUGGGGUCCUGUUUUUGGGAGAUGCAUACUUUAUCCCUAAAUAACUGUUUUCCAAAACAGUCUGAAAACAUACAAGUCUAGCAGAAUUGCUGAGUGUUUCCUUUUAGUUUUCCCUGUAGAUGUCCAUAUACCCGUGGCUUGAGCAGUAUUCAAAACAUCCUCAAUGAAGUGAAAAAGCAGAAUAUUACUACUGUAAACUCAAACAACUAACAGUUGAUAAGUAUUAUUCAGAGACUUUAACAUAAUUUCUUCCCAGCAGAGACAGAAACAAUCAGCAGCUUCAACAGCUGUAUCUGUGCACUGUUUAGGAACAAUGUUUUGUAGCACAGACUAAAUGUUUGCAUUUACCCUUCUUAGCUUAUUAGCAUUUCCUCCACCUAUAUUGUAAUAUCCAGAGCCCAGAGAGCUCUUACAGAUAGCUCCUGCCUCCCUCCCUCUGUCUGGUGACAGUGGGAUGCUCUCAGGUGUUUAAUGACAAGUCUUUUUUUUUUUUUUUUUUUUUUUUUUUUUUUUUUUUUUUUUUUUUGUACUAGAGGGCAGCAACAGUGCUGCAGUCACCUUGGAAACAACCAUCACCCACUGUUUGCAGAACAAACAAUGGUACCUUUUCAGCCAGCGCAAGGCAGGCAGGGCAAGGGGCAGCCAAGCAAUUCUGGGACUUACAGGAGUGUUAACAUAUUGCAUUCAUUCAGUGCGUCAAAAAAUAGUUCAGCACGAGGAGCAAGGCGCUCUCAAAGUGAGAGCCUUUGGCUGCAAACCACAGACAAGUGCACAGGGCUCAGAAGGUCUCCCCAGUCAGCAACGAGGUCUUUUCCUCUGGUUUUUUUACUUGCCCUCCUGUUCCCCUCUCUCAUACACACAGAAGGAAGAAAAACACACCUAUUUAAACUGAUCUUAUCCACGAAAAGUCAAGUGUUCAGCUUCCAAGUAGCACUCUCUGAAGUUUUCUCAGUGUGCCAAAAUAUUUUAAAGAACUGUUUACCCGCACUUGUAGUGCUUUGUACCCAAUGCAUCAAGAGCUGUUUCCAGAAGCGUUCCCUGUGAAGUUAGUGA